AGUGAACGCUGGCGGUAGGCCUAACACAUGCAAGUCGAACGGCAGCACAGGAGAGCUUGCUCUCUGGGUGGCGAGUGGCGGACGGGUGAGGAAUACAUCGGAAUCUGCCCAGUCGUGGGGGAUAACGCAGGGAAACUUACGCUAAUACCGCAUACGACCUUCGGGUGAAAGAGUGGGAUCGCAAGACCUCUCGCGAUUGGAUGAGCCGAUGUCGGAUUAGCUAGUUGGCGGGGUAAUGGCCCACCAAGGCGACGAUCCGUAGCUGGUCUGAGAGGAUGAUCAGCCACACUGGAACUGAGACACGGUCCAGACUCCUACGGGAGGCAGCAGUGGGGAAUAUUGGACAAUGGGCGCAAGCCUGAUCCAGCCAUACCGCGUGGGUGAAGAAGGCCUUCGGGUUGUAAAGCCCUUUUGUUGGGAAAGAAAUCUUUCAGGCUAAUACCCUGGGAGGAUGACGGUACCCAAAGAAUAAGCACCGGCUAACUUCGUG
This 490-nucleotide ribosomal RNA is filed under the name uncultured bacterium. RNAcentral describes it as "partial 16S ribosomal RNA". It matches the Rfam family "Bacterial small subunit ribosomal RNA", at positions 29 to 507 of the family's 1533-position model. The record is from RNAcentral.